GAGUAAUCGAAAAAGCCGGAUAGUGGAUGAACAGUUCAGAGUUUGUGAAAACCUUAUGUGAAUUGUUCAUCUUCCUCACUGCGUGCUGGCAGCGUGUAAGAUGUGACUUAUAUUUCUUGCUUCCAUUUUAUAAACGUCCCCAUAGGAGCCAUAUAAGUGCUCAUCUGCAGCUGAAGAAUACAUCAUUACUCAAAAUAAUUCUCUCCCAGGAGCGUGUGGGUUACAGAACAGUAAAGACACCAAACAAUGCAGAGAGAAACCCACAUGAAUACCUCCUUUGGAAAGAAAGCUCCUUUGAAUAAGAUUGCCCUGGACAAUCUUUUGUUCUCCCGUCCUGAGUUGGCAGAGGUGGCGGCAGACGAGGGAGUGGUGGAACCAACCGUGUAUAAUCUUCUCAGGAGCUAAUGGG
Nycticebus coucang (slow loris) is the source of this 409-nucleotide long non-coding RNA. RefSeq lists it as uncharacterized. The transcript is spliced from 3 exons. NCBI's taxonomy places the organism in Eukaryota, Metazoa, Chordata, Mammalia, Primates, Lorisidae. The record is from RefSeq and is a predicted model, not a curated record.